UACGGGGGGGGCAAGCGUUGUUCGGACUUACUGGGCGUAAAGCGUGCGCAGGCGGUUUUGUAAGCCAGAUGUGAAAUCCCCGGGCUUAACCUGGGAACUGCAUUUGUGACUGCAUGGCUGGAGUGCGGCAGAGGGGGAUGGAAUUCCGCGUGUAGCAGUGAAAUGCAUAGAUAUGCGGAGGAACACCGAUGGCGAAGGCAAUCCCCUGGGCCUGCACUGACGCUCAUGCACGAAAGCGUGGGGAGCAAACAGG
This 253-nucleotide ribosomal RNA is filed under the name uncultured bacterium. RNAcentral describes it as "partial 16S ribosomal RNA". It matches the Rfam family "Bacterial small subunit ribosomal RNA", at positions 524 to 776 of the family's 1533-position model. The record is from RNAcentral.